ACUUAUGGCACUUCCGUUCCCCUCCUCGGGGAACGAAGGGUUACUUCUGUAACCUCGAACGUUACUCACUGAAGCUAAGCAGGGCUGUCAGUACCUGGAUGGGAGACCACACAGGAAAACUAGGUUGCUGUUGGAA
This 136-nucleotide ribosomal RNA is filed under the name Danio rerio (zebrafish). Lineage: Eukaryota; Metazoa; Chordata; Actinopteri; Cypriniformes; Danionidae. The record is from RNAcentral.